RNAcentral lists this ribosomal RNA (508 nucleotides) under uncultured bacterium. RNAcentral's name for it is "partial 16S ribosomal RNA". It matches the Rfam family "Bacterial small subunit ribosomal RNA", at positions 29 to 523 of the family's 1533-position model. The record is from RNAcentral.
AUUGAACGCUGGCGGCAGGCCUAACACAUGCAAGUCGAGCGGCAGCGGGAAAGUAGCUUGCUACUUUUGCCGGCGAGCGGCGGACGGGGGAGUAAUGCUUGGAAAAUUGCCCAGUGGAGGGGGAUAACAGUUGGAAACGACUGCUAAUACCCCAUAGGCCCUAGGGGGGAAAGAAGGGGACCUCCGGGCCUGGCGCGAUUGGGUAGGCCCAGGGGGGAUUAGCUAGUUGGUGAGGUAAUGGCUCACCAAGGCGACGAUCCGUAGCUGGUCUGAGAGGAUGAUCAGCCACACUGGAACUGAGACACGGUCCAGACUCCUACGGGAGGCAGCAGUGGGGAAUAUUGCACAAUGGGGGAAACCCUGAUGCAGCCAUGCCGCGUGUGUGAAGAAGGCCUUCGGGUUGUAAAGCACUUUCAGCGAGGAGGAAAGGUUGAUACCUAAUACGUAUCAACUGUGACGUUACUCGCAGAAGAAGCACCGGCUAACUCCGUGCCAGCAGCCGCCGUAA